GCAGUGCACUGUGUGUGCCUGCCACUUUAAGGGCCUGGAGCUGGCAGCCUCCAGGUGCCUGAUUAGGGCAGCCAUUUUAGAGGCAAGGGCUGCCUAUAUAAGCAGGGCAGUCUGGCUGCUGAAGGCCAGGCAGCAACAUUGCCUGACCAAAAGGCUGCUGAGACAACCUGGGAGUUUCACUCGGCUAACGGAAAAGCCCAUGGGCUGAUCCAAGCAGAUUCAAAAGACUUCAGACUGUAAAAAAUUAACAACCCUAACCCAGAAGACUGGAUCAAGUUAGGGACAAGGACUAACCAGCUUGACCUAACGAGACAGCUCAACUCACUGCAAAAAAGCACAGCCUAUGGAACAGAAAUGGGGACAAGAUUUAUUGUUGUGACCAGAGACGGGUCCAAGGAGAGGACCUGAAGUCCUAUUCACCUCUCAAGGUCUCCACGUAGAAGAUGGGAGACCACUGGGCAUUUACGACCCAAGCAGCACCAUCCCACUACAGUGAGCACUAGAAAGAAAAACCUGCAAGACAUUUGUCCAAUCCGACUGCGAUGCAGAAAGUAAACAAACAAUGCCAACAGUGAAAAGCACCUAUGUUUUGUUUUGUCUUGUUUUCUAAAAAUGUUUCUUGCAGUUUUAAAGCUCUCAGGUGCAUGGUAAUCACUUGAAAAUUCUCAGCGAGUCAGAUACCAAAAGUUUCUACAGACUAUUGACUGUAUUUACACAUGCCAUCUGGCACUUGUAAACAGGACUUUAUUUGUGCAGUUACUUUUUCACACACAUUUUAAAAGCCUUUAAAAAUUGGCUCUUGUUAAUAAUAUACUGCAUUUAAGAUAACAGCUCUGAUUCCAACCUGCCUCACAAGCUCAGUUAUUAAGCUAUUUUUCACGUUUUGUACAAUCCCUGCUAUACUUACAGUCAUUGCUGUGCACUUAUAUUGCACCUCUCCUAAUGUGGUUAAACAGAACUACCUUGACAGAAGACAGCCAUGAAGGUUUUCUGACAAUGUAAAUUACUAAGCAACUGAAGCAUCUGUUCAGUAUCCAUUAGUUGUGUUACUCAGGGAGGGUGGGAAAAGGAAUUAUGAUGGAGGACACACAGACCUAGCCACAGUGAUAAUCUCUAGCUUCAUACGAUGGCUAUGUCUGCACUGCAACUGGGGUAUGCAACUGCAGCCUGUACGGUCUUACCUGAGGUAGCCUUAACCUAACCAGCUGGGGUACAAAAUUCAUGAAAAUAGUGGCACGGACUUCAGCACAGGCUAGCUAUCCCAUACCCCUGCGAUGAUUAAAGCUAGCUCCUGCAUACCUCAGUACACUGCCAUCCUAGGCUGAGCAAAAGAGUUAAAUCACAGACCCAAGGAAGUCAAUGGAAAAACUCCCACUGAAUCCCACUGGAUUAGAAUUGGCCCUAUCAGGGGUGGGGGCCUCAUUUACAGUCAUGCUGCGAUUACUAUGAAGAACUGCACAAUUGUUCUUCAAGAACAAUAGGGAAUUGUGUAAGAAAACCACCAAAUCAAGGGAAUACAAUUCUGCAGCAGAUCUCAGAAGCUAUGCAGUAGCCUGGAAAAAGGCCAGUAGCUUCACUAGUCAGGAAUGUCCACAUCAUAACUGGCAAUAAUUUGACCUCUGGCUGGCAGGCCAAGCAUAGAAGCUGAGAAUGACAGUCUUGGCCCUGUUGAUAUUCUCACUGAAUCAACUUUAUACUGUUCUCAAGGCCAGAGUUUCUUUCAGUUAUAUGGAUAACAGCUCCUGCCGAUUCAAACUGCACCUGUAGACAUGAGAGCAGAAUUUGAACCCAAGCCUUCAGUUUCCAAGAUGUCAACACACGCUGCUCCAUGAGAACUCAACUCCCUUGCACUGUUCUCCAAGCCAUACCACAGCUACAAACAGGUGAGGAAGGAUUCCCUGCUUUUAAUUCUUCUUGAUUUACCUGCCGGUACAAAGUUAGUUUUUAUGAGGACUUCUUGAAGAGACAAUUGAUGCACACUAGCAACAAAAGGCUAAAGGAGAAGCAGAUUUUAGUGGUGAUACCAUAGAGCAGCCGUUUAAAAUGAAGAAAAUUAAUGCUUUUAUCAUUUUUUUUCAAAAAGCGCAUCUUAAAAAAAAAAAAAAGUUUCCUCAUUUUCUUUAGUGCAUAAAAGAAAUUCAGCUAAGAUAAGGGGAAUGUGUUUCAUGCUGGUAAACACUUGCAAACAGAGCUCAGCACUACAGAAUCCUUGCACGUACUUCUACUUAAUGAAGGGGCUUUCCAGGAUCAAGCAAGUCUGGUCCCAUUAAUAACUCAGAACAAUUAUAAAGAAAAUACAACUGUCACCACCCCCACUCUACCUCUAUGAACUAAAUUUGAGGAGAUUAAAACUGUAUGUUAAAUCAAUUCCCCAAAAUGAAUCGACCCCAAAAGGUCGAAACAGAAAUCAUCCGAGAGCCAUAGUAACUGAUCUGAAAGACGCAAGGCCAUCUCUCCAGGCCCGGUUACUAAAUCAUACAUCUGAACGUUGGCCACCAGCACUCCUGCAGCUUCCAUUUGCUGCCCUGGAAUCUACAACGAAUGUGCGCUAGCUCAGAGCUGCUCCUCCAGGGAGCAAUUACCAUUUUAUACAUCAGUGUUCAGUUACAGGGCUGUGAGUGUCCUACAGCCAAUCAUAAUAUAGGUUCUGCACAUCAGAGCUUGAGGUCUGAAAAUAAGAAAUUUGGCAAAAGUUAUUAUAACAAAAGAAAGAUUCCUUGCUAGUAUGAUUGUGAACAUGCUUAGCUUCCAUUCACAAAUACUGCCAUUUUGGCAGUGAUUAAUCACAGCACUUUGGAUAUUUAAGAAGUCAUUGUAGCGGUUAAUUGCUCCGUGGAAAUAUGGUAUGAAGUGUCACUUUACUUUGAAAAUAAUGACAUAUAAUAGGCCAAAUUCUAUUCUUACUGGCAUCCAUGCUGCUUAUCUGUACUCACUGGAGCAGCCCUGUAGAAAGGCCUUUGGAGAUUAACUCUACUGCCUAAAGCCUCAUCUGAUAUAAAGUGGUUUAGGUCCAUUUAAUCCAGCUGGAGAUCUGGCCUUAAGGUUUGAUAAGCAAGUACUGCAACAUCUCUUUGGCUGCAGGCCAUUUCCAUAGGACAGAAUUUUGGCCCCACAUCCUGUAAAUUCAUUGAACAAAGAUUUGGCAUCAACAAGUCACAUUUCAGUGUACUUCUAAUGAGAUUAAGAUCUGAAGCAACACACACAAUAAAUCGUAGCUAGAUAAGACAAAUGCAAUAUUUCCGUUGCUCAGUUUUCUUUAUAGCAUAUUCCCUGUGCAUGGCAGGGAGACAACUAACCUUCCCAGAGAACAGUCUAAACAAUACCAACAUUUGAUUCAUGACAUGGUAAACAUCUGCGCCCCAAGCAAUGACUCAGUCAGGGCCAGCACUGUACAAUCAAGGCAGCACACCCUCUCCUCUGCAAGAACAUCUGCAUCCCUGCGGUAAUCAAAGGACCAGAAAAAUGAAGAAUGUCACAAUGAGAAAAACUAGGGGGAAAGUCAAGCACAUUUUUAAAUGUAUGAUGAUUUAAUUCAGCUGUUUUCAAAACUGUGAUACAUGUGCUGCAAAGUGAUGCUAUGCGAGCCAUAACCAUGCAGUACAGGGUUUGUUUGGAAGUGCUGUAUCAGAAUAAGAGUCCAUUCAAACGCCACUGAUGAACCUUCUCAAGUUAAUAUGACACCCACUUGAAACUACAGUUUAUCAGGCCUUCAAGUCUGAAAGCAUUAAACAGAAAAUAAAGACAAGGCGCCUUGGUUUGCAGGCUACAGGACUGAGCUCCAUAAACAAGGGGCAGGGGGAAGAAUUUUCCAUGUUAGCAGGUUUGAGUGACCAGAUGAAAUUCACAGCUCUUUCCACAAGAGCAGGUAUUAAUGAUUCCUGCAUAAAUCAGCCCACAGUGUCUCAAGUUGGCCAUUUUAAGAAACACUCCAAACAAUGACCCCCACUUUUCUCUAAGUGCAGAAUUUUCUUACUACAGAUACUAAUUUUCUUCACCAAAAACAGCCUCAGGAAAAAACAAACAAAACAAACUAUUCUGUUUCUUCAACAGAUUCUACUAUAUGCCUCAAACAGAUCCUCCAAAACUCAUUAAGCACUGAGGCCACUGACCCACAUUACAUUUAAGAUGGGAUUAUCAGGUUAAUUGCACCUUAAAUAGUAACAUGUGCAAGUUAAUUUAAGGUGUAAUAAUAGAGGAAAUGAAACACAAAGUUAAUCCACAUAUGUGAGAACUUUGUGUCUUAUUGGUAUCACACCUUAAAAUAAGCACGUGCCCCAGGACCUGUCAAAACCGUGAGUGUUAUCUAGUUGGACAGCACACAUGGUUUUAUAGGUCCAGGUACAGGAGAACUCGGGGAUUGGGCUAUGAUUGGCUAGGGUCCCCAUGCGUGGGGAUGAGUAAACACCCUGUGUGCCACCCACCUGGGUGGCACAUGGGGUUUAUACUGCUCCCAGUGUGUGAGAAGCCCAGCACAGGGCUGCUUCCCAUGCACUGGGAGCUAUAAAACCACAUGUGCCACCCAGCUGAACAGCACAUGGGUUUUUACUCAUCCCCAGAGCUCAGGGGUCCAGGAUCAGGCUGUAACAGACCACUCCUAGGGUCCCUGUGCUCCUAGUUCGGGUUUUGACAAUCAGUGAUUGUUGGCUGGUUUAGUUCCUGGCCCCAAAAGACAAUCAGCUGAUCAUUGGCACCCUAGUUUCAUCAGCAGGAGCCCGGGAUCAUGAGCAAUCUGCUACCCUGCACCAGCAAGUAAGACAUGAUUGGGAUCUCAUCUCCAAUCCCAAAAUUGCACAUCCCGCAAAGAAUAUGUGGCAUGGCAGGAGAGAUCUAACAGUUGCACUAUCAGGCCCUAAAGUGAACGUCUUCUCAGGGGCCUCAAAGACUGAUGCACAAUGGCUGAACACAGCUUCUCUUCUAUCCACAGGGUGAACCCCUGUUGACUUCAGUAAGAUUCUGUGUGUACAACUUAAGAGCCUAAGCCCAAAGUCAUUUUUAAUAA
Alligator mississippiensis (American alligator) is the source of this 4999-nucleotide long non-coding RNA. RefSeq lists it as uncharacterized. The record is from RefSeq and is a predicted model, not a curated record. The transcript is spliced from 3 exons. NCBI's taxonomy places the organism in Eukaryota, Metazoa, Chordata, Crocodylia, Alligatoridae.